RNAcentral lists this unclassified non-coding RNA (244 nucleotides) under uncultured fungus. RNAcentral describes it as "partial contains 5.8S ribosomal RNA, internal transcribed spacer 2, and large subunit ribosomal RNA". The stretch from base 1 to 52 matches the Rfam family "5.8S ribosomal RNA", at positions 103 to 154 of the family's 154-position model. The record is from RNAcentral. Lineage: Eukaryota; Fungi. RNAcentral also lists the same sequence under 1 other name.
AACGCACAUUGCGCCCCUCGGUAUUCCGGGGGGCAUGCCUGUUCGAGCGUCAUUACACCCCUCAAGCGUAGCUUGGUACUGGGUCCUCGUCCCCGCGACGUGCCCGAAAAGCAGUGGCGGUCCGGUGGGACUUUAAGCGUAGUAAAUCUUAUCCCGCUUUGAAAGUUCGCCCGGCGACCGGCCAGAUAACCCCAUUUAUUCAAUGAUUGACCUCGGAUCAGGUAGGGAUACCCGCUGAACUUAA